RNAcentral lists this transfer RNA (215 nucleotides) under Hortaea werneckii EXF-2000. RNAcentral describes it as "tRNA-Und (NNN) (tRNA-Und-NNN-4-1)". The record is from RNAcentral. Lineage: Eukaryota; Fungi; Ascomycota; Dothideomycetes; Mycosphaerellales; Teratosphaeriaceae.
GGCGCGGUAGCAAAGUGGUUACUGUAAGCGAACACUGCUUUCCAAGCUUCCCACGUGACAUCGCUGACAUUCAAUCAGGCGAUUGACUAGAAUGGAUACUGCAUUGUCCAGUAUUGGCUAUCAAUUCCCUUCGGGGUAAGUGACUCUUGCAUUCUCGCAGAAAGACAGUAUACUAACAACCUCUUAGGGCGCAGGUUCGAAUCCUGCCCGCGUCG